GACGAACGCUGGCGGCGUGCUUAACACAUGCAAGUCGUACGGUAAGGCCCUUUCGGGGGUCCACGAGUGGCGAACGGGUGAGUAACACGUGAGUAACCUGCCCACAACUUUGGGAUAACGCUAGGAAACUGGUGCUAAUACUGGAUAAGUGCUCCUGCUGCAUGGUGGGGGUUGGAAAGCUCCGGCGGUUGUGGAUGGAAUCGCGGCCUAUCAGCUUGUUGGUGGGGUAGUGGCCUACCAAGGCGGCGACGGGUAGCCGGACUGAGAGGGUGACCGGCCACAGUGGGACUGAGAUACGGCCCCGGCUCAUACGGGAGGGAGCAGUGGGGAAUGUUGCUAAAGGGGAGCGAGCCUGAUGCAGCAACGCCGCGGGCGGGAUGACGAACUUCGGGUUGGAAACCGCUUUCAGCGGGGACGAAGCUUUUUGUGACGGUACCUGCAGAAGAAGCACCGGCUAACUACGUG
RNAcentral lists this ribosomal RNA (465 nucleotides) under uncultured bacterium. RNAcentral describes it as "partial 16S ribosomal RNA". It matches the Rfam family "Bacterial small subunit ribosomal RNA", at positions 28 to 507 of the family's 1533-position model. The record is from RNAcentral.